UUGUUUUUAUUUCUUUUUGAAUUGAUGUUUGUUUGAUUUUUGUCAAAUCCUCCUUUACUCUGAUUCUGCAAGAAAAGAAUGGACUGCUGGAUAAAUUCCUUUACGAUGCAAGAAAAGAAGCUUCACUUCUCCACCAAAUAAAGUUUCAAUCUUUUUGGUUCACAACUAGUUAUUAAUCAUUAAGUAAUUUGGGUAAUUUAGCAUCCGUUUUUAGAUCAGGAGAGAAAAAACUAAAAAUGACAGAGAGCUUCAAGUUGGAGUUAGCUUAGCCACUUCUUUUUUUUUUGUGCUCAGAAGAAAGAACAGUCGCCGGCAAAAAAGUCUCAACCUUUUCCCUCUCCGCUUGUUCACUGGUCACUGGCAUUUCUCUCUCUCCGACUUGAUUUCCUUAUCGCAUGAUUUUCAACGGCGAUGGGAGACGAGAAGCCGGCGGUUGUGAUGGCCAAUCGAGAAAGAGAUCGAGAGCUUGUUCCCGUCGCUGAUUCCGGCGACAAAGACGAUAGUCCUUCUUCGAAGCCUUCUUCUUCUUCUGCUUCCUCUUCCUCUUCCUCUUCUUCUUCGCAUCAAUCCAGCCACGAGACUUUAAGCUUGUUCAUUAGGGGUUGGGCGUCCAAGAAGUUCAUGACAGGCUGGUUCUUCUGUACAGAUCAGGACUAGUCACUGCUGCUGCAUCUUUUGUAGCUGUUCUACUGCUGCAUUUUUACCAGGAGACUCUUGGUUAAGUGAAAUAAUCAAACAAAACCAUGAUUUGUUUUACUUCGUUGGUGCUAGUGGUUUAGGGCUAUCUCUGUUUCUUAUUCAUAUUUAUGUUACGGUGAUUAAGAGGACUCUUCAAGCUUUAUGGGCACUUGGUUUUGUUGGUUCCUUGGCCACUUACGCAGCCCUUGCUAGACCAGCCGGUGAUAACUUGGUUCAGUAUGUCGUUGAUCAUCCUACUGCUGUUUGGUUUGUUGGUCCCCUUUUCGCUGCUCUUACAGGCCUUGUUUUCAAAGAAGGACUCUGCUACGGAAAACUAGAAGCUGCCUUCUUACAUUCAUCAUACCUUCAGUUCUUCUUGGUCAUUUGAGUGGUCUGAUGAAUGAUGAGGCAAAACUGGUGUUGCUAGGAAGUUAUACAGGAAAGGAAAAGUCACAAGAGUUUGGUAGCAAAGUUACACCUAUUGUCUCUAAAGUUCUCUUCUUUGAGCAAGUCCGUCUCCUUCAAAAGUCUCCGGAAUGGUAUAUAUAUAAGCUUCUGAGGAUAUGCUUGAAGAUGAUGUAGCUUCAAACAAAGCAAUAGGACCCUUUGGUUUGAACAUGUUGAGAACUUGAUCAGUUUAGGACAUGACUUUGUGUUUUGUUUAUGGUUUGGUUUGAUGGUUACAUCUUCUCUUCUAGAGUUCAUGAUUGUCAUGUGUUCAUUUUGUAUGAUUUGGAUCUUUUAUGGGAAAGCAAUGGUAUUUUAUGAUUUUUUUUGUUGGCUUUA
Molecule: non-coding RNA, 1464 nt
Organism: Camelina sativa (false flax)
Lineage: Eukaryota; Viridiplantae; Streptophyta; Magnoliopsida; Brassicales; Brassicaceae
Source: RefSeq, a predicted model, not a curated record